GGAAGGCUCGUCCGCUCAGGGUCAGUCGGGACCUAAGUCGAGGCCGACAGGCGUAGACGAUGGACAACAGGUUGAUAUUCCUGUACCACCUCCCCGCCGUUUGAGCAAUGGGGGGACGCAGAAGGAUAAGGCGAGCGCGCCGUUGGUUGAGCGCGUCCAAGCAGCAAGGUGGGAAACGAGGCAAAUCCCGUUUCCGCAACAUUGAACUGUGACGGCAAGGGGCAAUCGCCCCGGAGUCCCUGAUUUCACACUGCCAAGAAAAGCCUCUA
This 269-nucleotide ribosomal RNA is filed under the name Chloropicon mariensis. RNAcentral's name for it is "partial Bacterial large subunit ribosomal RNA". It matches the Rfam family "Bacterial large subunit ribosomal RNA", at positions 1359 to 1623 of the family's 2925-position model. Lineage: Eukaryota; Viridiplantae; Chlorophyta; Chloropicophyceae; Chloropicales; Chloropicaceae. The record is from RNAcentral.